GCAGCGACGCCGCGUGGAGGACGAAGCCCUUCGGGGUGUAAACUCCUUUCGACGGGGACGAAAACCUCGCAAGAGGCUGACGGUACCCGUAUAAGANGCCCCGGCUAACUACGUGCCAGCAGCCGCGGUAAUACGUAGGGGGCGAGCGUUGCUCGGAAUUACUGGGCGUAAAGGGUCCGUAGGCGGUUGGGUAAGUCGACGGUGAAAUCUCCCGGCUUAACUGGGAGGAGUCCGCCGAAACUGCCUGACUCGAGGGCCGGAGGGGCGAGUGGAAUUACCGGUGUAGCGGUGAAAUGCGUAGAUCUCGGUAGGAACACCGGAGGCGAAAGCGGCUCGCUGGACGGCACCUGACGCUGAGGGACGAAAGCUGGGGGAGCAAACAGGAUUAGAUACCCUGGUAGUCCCAGCCCUAAACGAUGGUCACUAGACGUGCCGCGUGUUCGCGCGGCGUGUCGCAGCUAACGCGCUAAGUGACCCGCCUGGGGAGUACGGUCGCAAGGCUA
This 503-nucleotide ribosomal RNA is filed under the name uncultured bacterium. RNAcentral's name for it is "bacterial SSU rRNA". It matches the Rfam family "Bacterial small subunit ribosomal RNA", at positions 388 to 896 of the family's 1533-position model. The record is from RNAcentral.